GCGGGUGUAGCUCAAUGGUAGAGCCCCAGCCUUCCAAGCUGGUUGCGCGGGUUCGAUUCCCGUCACCCGCU
RNAcentral lists this transfer RNA (71 nucleotides) under Thermanaeromonas toyohensis ToBE. It matches the Rfam family "tRNA". Rfam says of the family: Transfer RNA (tRNA) molecules are approximately 80 nucleotides in length. Their secondary structure includes four short double-helical elements and three loops (D, anti-codon, and T loops). Lineage: Bacteria; Bacillati; Bacillota; Clostridia; Neomoorellales; Neomoorellaceae. The record is from Rfam by way of RNAcentral.